UUCCGGGGCUGCGUCGGCACGUGCGGGUGGGCGGUGGAGCGCGGCGGAAGGCCAAGUCGCCUGUCGCGGUCCCAGGUUUUACCAGCGCCCUGGAUUGGAAGCGUGUCCUCUUCUGGGCCACGGCUCCAACGCGGGGCCCGCGGGCGGUUGGCUGUCUCCUGCUGCUGUGAGUUUGCAGCCGUUAAGAGCUGAGCCCGUGGCCCACCUGGAGCCAAGGGAUGUGGCCAGAGCUCCAUGUGGCUCUUACCGGCCUCUAUUGCGUGAGCCCUAGGGGGCCGCGCUCCCAGCUGUGUCAGGCUCCCCAGCCAUGCUCUGAGGACUAGGGACGCGUGGGAAUUGAAGACAGAAAAACGCAGAUAGAGAUACUAUUGUAGAAUCGGGCUCUUAGGAACAAUGAGGCCUCCUGUGAUUCCCAGGCCGCAGGGCGGAGACACACAAAACCUAAGACUAUACAGCAAGCCCAAGACAGCUGACUAUGAAGCGGGAAGCUCUCACCAAACACCAAAUCUGCCAGCUCAGUGAUUCUGAACUUCUCAUUCUCCAGAACUGUGAAAAAACUUCUGUUUAUAAGUGAGCCGGUAUUUUGGUAUUUUGUUAUCACAGCCUGAAAAGACUAAAACAAGUGCCUUCUAUGUCUAGGUUGACUUAUAAUAGCAAUCCAGAUAGACUCAGUGCCUGCCUCCAUUGUAGUGGCAGCCUGGGGACAGGAGAGUUCUUGCUAGCUUUUUCAAGGCAAGACCUGCUUAUGACGCAUCCUUGUGUCUCUGUCAGCAGUGAUCACAGCCCCUUCCCUUUACCAUCUGCUCAACAAAAACAGUUGUUGAAUUAAAUGUCACUUUGUGACUAGUGAAAUAAGUCUGUCAGAACCCCACACAAAUAUUUUGCUUGUUGUGGGAUUAGUUAUAAUAUGAAUGCCUUAACCAUAGAAGUCAAUCCCAUGUGUUUACAUGGUAGUUUUGUUAGUAUUACAACAGAGAAAUUUAUCAGGCAUAGGUUAUUCCCAGUCAUGUUUUCUAUUUUUGUUAGCCUUUUUACAAUUGCUUUUAUUAGCUAUUCCUUCAUGAUGUCUUGGAGAACUACCCUAUAAAAUUAUUAAUGCUGGUUAUUUAGGAGUUCUUUCAGGGCAUUGCAAGAUUUAUGGGCUAUGUAGGUGGCAAUGAAAACUUCACAGCAUUUUUUGGUUGCAUAUUUUACGUGUGCCACAUAGUUUAGAAAAACAAAACAAAACAAAACAAACUUUAAGAACAUUAUAUGUUCCUAGCCAGCACAGCUUUAGGGGUGU
This is a long non-coding RNA of Acinonyx jubatus (cheetah), 1282 nucleotides long. RefSeq lists it as uncharacterized. Lineage: Eukaryota; Metazoa; Chordata; Mammalia; Carnivora; Felidae. The transcript is spliced from 3 exons. The record is from RefSeq and is a predicted model, not a curated record.